This is a long non-coding RNA of Amphimedon queenslandica, 212 nucleotides long. RefSeq lists it as uncharacterized. Lineage: Eukaryota; Metazoa; Porifera; Demospongiae; Haplosclerida; Niphatidae. The record is from RefSeq and is a predicted model, not a curated record. The transcript is spliced from 2 exons.
GGGGACUGUACCAGAAUCCUUAUUGAAAGAAGCUCGUAAAACGGGUUCACUGAACCUGUCAAACAGGGGCAUUAGUGUUAUUCCUCCUAAACUGUGGAGACUCAAUAUUGAUCCUCCUGAUGGUAGUACUGCUUCUUUUGAUGUUGAUGAGAGAUGGUGGGACCAGGUGGAACUGACUAGACUGGAUCUAUCAUCUAACGAAAUCAAAGAAA